Long non-coding RNA from Tachysurus vachellii, 2611 nucleotides. RefSeq lists it as uncharacterized. NCBI's taxonomy places the organism in Eukaryota, Metazoa, Chordata, Actinopteri, Siluriformes, Bagridae. The record is from RefSeq and is a predicted model, not a curated record. The transcript is spliced from 2 exons.
GAUUCCCAAGAAUCCAGGGGAGUUGGAAUAUCUCCACCGUAUUAUCCACAUCACUUUGCUCGCCUCACAAUCAUCACUGUUCUGACCGGAAACCGUUAGCUACCCCCACUGCAGUCAAGGUUGCAGAGCUUUGUGUGCAGGUCAUGUCGCGCCCACAGAGAGGCCGGCGACGAGUCCAGCGACCCCUCACCUGUGCACGGUUGGAGGCGAGCCCACGGGGUGUUGUUUGACGCCUCGACGACGCCUGGUUCUGCUACACAUGCAUGCAACGCAUGCAACUGGACACCGAGGUGGACCAGUCUAACUUCAUCUGGAGGGACUUGGCUGACAUACCCCUCCCCGCCGACGGCUGACACCUGGUUCACGUUGCUGAAGGACACUGAUCCUUGCAAACACAGAUCUAGUCCUCCCUGAUGGACUGUGGGUUCAUUCGUGCCAUCAGAAUGAUUAUAUUCUCGACAAAGGACUGCUUUUGCAGGUGCACACAUAUGAGAUACGUCGUUCCCUUUGUGUGGCCUCAACGUAUGGACGUAGAUAUAAACAUGCGUAUAUUAUUUCCCGCCGUAUACGGCAGGCCGCCAUACGACAGUACUGUACUCUAUUCUUCUGUGGAUAUAAACUUUGGACAUCUCACACUCAAGAUGUGCAGCAAGGACUACAGGAUAUGAAGGAACCGCCCACGUUCAUAUGCUCAUGGACAGGAGGUGAUUCAGAUGCGGUUGUUCCUGUAACUCGAGACUUUCACGCUUAUCGCAACAGAAACAUUUGGGGUUCCCUACGCGCAGGCUGACACAUUUGGGCCCCCUUGCCAUGGUGGAUUCAAACCAUGCAUUGUAAUCAUUAUUGGUGGUGGUCAUAAGGACGACUCCCAUGCCAUGCGAGUACUGUUUGAUUUUCAUGUGUUUAUGCUGUAUGUUUCGGUGACCCUGGUGACACUGAUUUCACUGUCGCGCUAUAUUUGCGGGCAGAGUGAGAAUUUUCCCUCAAUUUGGCAUCAUGAGGGUUUUUCGCUCACUCCUGGCUCACCUUUUUGAGAAGGGCACGUGUGUUGUGGUCUACUGUGCUUAUUGUUGUUGUUGGGGGGGGGAGAGAUGUUGUAUGUUUUUAUGUUCUGGGUAUGUUUUUGGUGCGUUGUUGGUUUUUGUGGAUUUUGUGUUUUUGUUUUAUGUUCUAUGUGUUUUAUGUCUGUUUUAGUUUCUGUUUCUCGUUUGUGUUAGGGUGGUCGUCGUGGUUAGGUUCUUGGGUUUUGUUGAGACUUUUGCAGUCUCAGAGGGGGAGAGAUGUUGUGAAAAAUCCUUGAACCUUAAGAGAAUACAUUAUACUAUUAUUAUUAUAUUAUAUUAUUAUUGUAUUUUAUAUUAUUAACCAGAAGUCAGAGGGUGAAUAAAAGAGGGACUCUUUAUUAUAGUAACUCAGCAGACAGGAGAAGAAAGAGUGUAAACAGGGGACUCAGGGCCAUAGAACAGAGCUGUUCCAGACACGUAAUGAGCUCAUAGGUGAUAUGAAGUAGCUGGAAGCGGCGAUAGGUCUCCAUGACUUCAGCGGGUACUGGCCUGGGGUAGGGAGAAGGACGAGGAUGGUGAGGCGAAGACCUGAUAGGGCGACUAGGAUGAGCUGACUGACCUGGAGGCGAAGGGUCUGAGGAGAGAUAAGGGGAACUUGAGAUAAGGGUGAACAAUUCCAGCCUGAGCAAGGACAGGCUGGGAUCAUAACAUGAAACAUGCGAUCAAAACAAAGUUGAAGCUUUUAGCAGUUUAAAGGAGUCAUUAAAGAACUCCAUUUUUUACUUUUAUGUACACAAGCAACAUUAUAGUAGCAAUAGCUUAACAAUAAUGACAACAGUAUAGUAGCAAUAGUUUAGCAAGAGUUUUAGCCACAGUGACAAUAUAAGAUGACAAAUAGAUAAAAGCUUUCUUUUAACAUAAUAACUUUUGACAUAAAAUCAGACUCAUAGAGUGAUUUAUAAUUAUUAAAAUCAUGUAUAGAAGAAAAUAGCAAAGGAGAAACUCACCCAUUGUAGCUGAAUGAAGGAUUAAUCUUCAGGACGUCUGGCAUGGAAAAACUUAGAGGCAAAUGUACAGUAACUUCGACCAGGGAGUGAGGCUCUUUUUUUUAAAGCACACUUUUAAUAACAAAAUUGUUGUUUAGAUAUAAUUGUUAUGUCGGAUGAAGAAGACCCAGGGCCACAGGCCGGGGCUUCCGGAUCUGGGCCCCGGGGAACUAAGGAGAGGAAAAUCCAUAAAUGGGCAUAUGGGCAAAAGGUAAAGGAAAAACAAGGGGAUUGUAAGGAACAGGACGUUACAAAAACAUAUGAGAUAUAAGGAUAAGGUGAUAUGAAAAUGGGUCUGUAAGGAGGGGGACCGAUAAGGAGGCUCUUGGAAGCGUAUAUAUAGAGGAGAAUUUUGAAGUCAAAAAAUGUAUGCGUAAAAAAUCCCGUUACUCUGCAGGACCGUCCUGAGGGUUUUUUUGUUUUUGCAUGCCAAUGCUCUUCAUGAAGAUGCUUUUUCUUUUCUUGGGUUUUUGGGAUUUCUUUUGUUACUUUUCAAAUUAGCAAUUUCUCUUAGAGAAUUGUUGGCUGAUUGACCACAAUAAAGAAGUUUGCUCAUUCUCA